UGGGGAAUUUUGGACAAUGGGCGAAAGCCUGAUCCAGCAAUGCCGCGUGUGUGAAGGAGGCCUUCGGGUUGUAAAGCACUUUUGUCCGGAAAGAAAUCCUUGGCUCUAAUACAGUCGGGGGAUGACGGUACCGGAAGAAUAAGCACCGGCUAACUACGUGCCAGCAGCCGCGGUAAUACGUAGGGUGCAAGCGUUAAUCGGAAUUACUGGGCGUAAAGCGUGCGCAGGCGGUUUGCUAAGACCGAUGUGAAAUCCCCGGGCUCAACCUGGGAACUGCAUUGGUGACUGGCAGGCUAGAGUAUGGCAGAGGGGGGUAGAAUUCCACGUGUAGCAGUGAAAUGCGUAGAGAUGUGGAGGAAUACCGAUGGCGAAGGCAGCCCCCUGGGCCAAUACUGACGCUCAUGCACGAAAGCGUGGGGAGCAAACAGGAUUAGAUACCCUGGUAGUCCACGCCCUAAACGAUGUCAACUAGUUGUUGGGGAUUCAUUUCCUUAGUAACGUAGCUAACGCGUGAAGUUGACCGCCUGGGGAGUACGGUCGCAAGAUUAAAACUCAAAUGAAUUGACGGGGUCAUAGCUGUUUCCU
Molecule: ribosomal RNA, 585 nt
Filed under: uncultured bacterium
Lineage: Bacteria
Description: partial 16S ribosomal RNA
Rfam family: Bacterial small subunit ribosomal RNA
Source: RNAcentral